Molecule: long non-coding RNA, 414 nt
Filed under: Phoenix dactylifera (date palm)
Lineage: Eukaryota; Viridiplantae; Streptophyta; Magnoliopsida; Arecales; Arecaceae
Description: long non-coding RNA (PDAC_LNC007567)
Source: RNAcentral
UGAAAGAGAAUGUGGGUUUAAUUAGUGAUUGUUUUUUGUUGGUCAUUGUAAUAGGUUGAUAUCGAUCCGUUAUCCAUGAGCAUAUAUAACCACUAGCACUCAUCAUGUUCAAUGCACGAGAUAGAUUCAAGAAGUACUGAAUGGACUAUUUGGUUUGCGUGGAAGGUAUGUUUGCAUGUGAAACACAUUCAACAACUUCAAAUAAUAAAAUCAAAAACUAGACUGAGUGCAUGGAUUAUUGUUAAUUUCUUGUUCUAUUAGUACCUAUUUUCUGUUACUUUCUUUCUAGUUUUUAUCCUUUAGUAGAAUAUCAGACUUGUCCCUUUCUGUAAUCUGGCUUUUUGAAGUUGUGUAUUAAUUUUUGCCGAAUGCAGUAUUAAACAUUUAAUUUAUUUCAAUUUAUUAGGUAAGUUG